UAAGCAGAUAGUGAAAGCGUGAGGCUCAACCUCAUAUCCAUUAUUUGAACUGCUAAGCUAGAGGGCGAGAGAGGUUACUAGAAUUCCUUGUGUAGGAGUGAAAUCCGUAGAUAUAAGGAGGAAUACCGAUGGCGUAGGCAGGUAACUGGCUCGUCCCUGACACUAAGGCACGAAAGCGUGGGAGCGACCGGGAUUAGAUACCCCGUUAGUCCACGCCGUAAACGAUGGAUGCUA
Molecule: ribosomal RNA, 234 nt
Filed under: uncultured Candidatus Saccharibacteria bacterium
Lineage: Bacteria; Candidatus Saccharimonadota
Description: partial 16S ribosomal RNA
Rfam family: Bacterial small subunit ribosomal RNA
Source: RNAcentral